RNAcentral lists this ribosomal RNA (253 nucleotides) under uncultured bacterium. RNAcentral's name for it is "partial 16S ribosomal RNA". It matches the Rfam family "Bacterial small subunit ribosomal RNA", at positions 524 to 776 of the family's 1533-position model. The record is from RNAcentral.
UACAGAGGUCUCAAGCGUUGUUCAGAUUCAUUGGGCGUAAAGGGUGCGUAGGCGGCGCCGUAAGUCGGGUGUGAAAUUUCGGAGCUUAACUCCGAAACUGCAUUCGAUACUGCGGUGCUUGAGGACUGGAGAGGAGACUGGAAUUCAUGGUGUAGCAGUGAAAUGCGUAGAGAUCAUGAGGAAGACCAGUGGCGAAGGCGGGUCUCUGGACAGUUCCUGACACUGAGGCACGAAGGCCAGGGGAGCAAACGGG